This 444-nucleotide ribosomal RNA is filed under the name Omalogyra fusca. RNAcentral's name for it is "partial 16S ribosomal RNA". It matches the Rfam family "Archaeal large subunit ribosomal RNA", at positions 1889 to 2686 of the family's 2987-position model. Lineage: Eukaryota; Metazoa; Mollusca; Gastropoda; Omalogyridae. The record is from RNAcentral.
CGCCUGUUUAUCAAAAACAUAGCUUAUUGAGUAUAUAGUAAGUGUAUUCUGCUCAAUGAAUAUAUGUUGUUUUAAUUGCUGCAGUAUUUUGACUGCACUAAGGUAGCAUAAUCAAUUGGCUUUUAAUUAAAGUCUAGAAUGAAUGGGAGUAUGGGGUAAAUUUGUAUUGUUCUAAUUAUAAUUAAAUUAGGAUCUAAGUAAAAACUCUUAGAGUUUUAAUUAAGACGAAAAGACCCUAUAGAAUUUAUAUAUUUUGUUUUGAUGGGGCAUCAAAGAAUAUUUAUCGUUCUUUAGUUAAAUUACCUUAGGGAUAACAGCUUAAAAUGGAGUUUACUUCUUAGAUAAGACCUCGAUGUUGGACUAGAAAUCAAUUUGUUUAAAAAAUUUAUUUAAUUUGAUAGGUCUGUUCGACCUAAUAUCUUCUACGUGAUCUGAGUUCAGACC